CCAAGAUAGGUAUGACCUUAAGGUAAGUUCUAUAAUUAUCAACCGUAAAAAACUCGUAUAACCGUUAUCUAUCUUGUGAAGGUUGGCUGCUUACAAUUUUUCGCCUAUGCCAGAUUUUUUUUUUUUUUGUUAAUAUUGCUCCUUUUAUCUUAUUUUUCAUGUUGAUCUUCUGUUUCUGGCCUUCUGGUGGCUUUUUUGUUGUAAAGACCUGAUUCUGGAACGUUUUGUAUUCCAGUUCCUUUUUGAAGACAUAGUCCUAAGAAAUGAAUCUUCUAACUGCCAAAGGAAAAAUAAAAAGAAUUCAAGGGGUGCUUACCCGAAAGAUUGCUCGAUUAUUUUCAUAAUAUUUAUAAUGUUUCGAUAAUUAUAAAUGAAAAUUUAUCUAUGUUGUUAAGAGUUAUAAAUGAAAUAGUACAAGUGUUAAGUUCUC
Molecule: long non-coding RNA, 430 nt
Filed under: Gossypium barbadense (sea-island cotton)
Lineage: Eukaryota; Viridiplantae; Streptophyta; Magnoliopsida; Malvales; Malvaceae
Description: long non-coding RNA (GBAR_LNC001903)
Source: RNAcentral